CCAGCAAUCUAGGGAGAUACCUUGAUCGCGUAGGUGCUUUUCCCAGAGCAAGGCUUACCCAUUGCUGUCCAGAUGUGCUGACCCCUUCAGUUUCCCCAAAUGUGGGAAAUUCAACUGCAAAAUUUGUGGUAGUGGAGGGACUGUGUGUUUAUGCUGUCCCCUA
This is a small nuclear RNA of Cricetulus griseus (Chinese hamster), 163 nucleotides long. Its record names the gene U1. It matches the Rfam family "U1 spliceosomal RNA". From Rfam's summary of the family: U1 is a small nuclear RNA (snRNA) component of the spliceosome (involved in pre-mRNA splicing). Its 5' end forms complementary base pairs with the 5' splice junction, thus defining the 5' donor site of an intron. NCBI's taxonomy places the organism in Eukaryota, Metazoa, Chordata, Mammalia, Rodentia, Cricetidae. The record is from Ensembl.